ACUCCUACGGGAGGCAGCAGUGGGGAAUUUUGGACAAUGGGCGAAAGCCUGAUCCAGCCAUGCCGCGUGCAGGAUGAAGGCCUUCGGGUUGUAAACUGCUUUUGUACGGAACGAAACGGCCUUUUCUAAUAAAGAGGGCUAAUGACGGUACCGUAAGAAUAAGCACCGGCUAACUACGUGCCAGCAGCCGCGGUAAUACGUAGGGUGCAAGCGUUAAUCGGAAUUACUGGGCGUAAAGCGUGCGCAGGCGGUUAUGUAAGACAGUUGUGAAAUCCCCGGGCUCAACCUGGGAACUGCAUCUGUGACUGCAUAGCUAGAGUACGGUAGAGGGGGAUGGAAUUCCGCGUGUAGCAGUGAAAUGCGUAGAUAUGCGGAGGAACACCGAUGGCGAAGGCAAUCCCCUGGACCUGUACUGACGCUCAUGCACGAAAGCGUGGGGAGCAAACAGGAUUAGAAACCCGUGUAGUCC
Molecule: ribosomal RNA, 469 nt
Filed under: uncultured organism
Description: partial 16S ribosomal RNA
Rfam family: Bacterial small subunit ribosomal RNA
Source: RNAcentral